RNAcentral lists this ribosomal RNA (253 nucleotides) under uncultured bacterium. Its description in RNAcentral is "partial 16S ribosomal RNA". It matches the Rfam family "Bacterial small subunit ribosomal RNA", at positions 524 to 776 of the family's 1533-position model. The record is from RNAcentral.
UACGUAGGGCGCAAGCGUUGUCCGGAAUUAUUGGGCGUAAAGAGCUCGUAGGCGGUCUGUCGCGUCUGCCGUGAAAACCCGAGGCUUAACCUCGGGCUGGCGGUGGAUACGGGCAGACUAGAGGUAGGUAGGGGAGAAUGGAAUUCCCGGUGUAGCGGUGAAAUGCGCAGAUAUCGGGAGGAACACCGGUGGCGAAGGCGGCGUUCUGGACUGCAACUGACACUGAGGAACGAAAGCCAGGGGAGCAAACGGG